ACGGAGGGUGCGAGCGUUAAUCGGAAUUACUGGGCGUAAAGCGUACGUAGGCGGCUCAUUAAGCAAGAUGUGAAAGCCCCGGGCUCAACCUGGGAAUGGCAUUUUGAACUGGUGAGCUCGAGUUUUGAAGAGGGUGGUAGAAUUUCCAGUGUAGCGGUGAAAUGCGUAGAUAUUGGAAGGAAUACCAGUGGCGAAGGCGGCCACCUGGUCAAGAACUGACGCUGAGGUACGAAAGCGUGGGGAGCAAACAGG
Molecule: ribosomal RNA, 252 nt
Filed under: uncultured bacterium
Lineage: Bacteria
Description: partial 16S ribosomal RNA
Rfam family: Bacterial small subunit ribosomal RNA
Source: RNAcentral